AUGGGCGGCCGAGCGCGCCCGAGGGACCCGCGUCGGGAGAAGCCGCGCAGCGCCUACCGCGGGGGUCGAGUCCUGGCGGCCCCACCUGCUCCGGAGUCGGCCCUGUCCCUCUGUGGAGACCGGGACCCAGAGAGUGUGGCCUGGGACACCUCCUAUCCAGCCAUACGCCGCCCAGGACUGGCUCAACACCUCCACCCCCCACUGCUGAUUCACCCAUGACAUGUCACCUCCCACCUGCCACUGCUGGCUCACCUGUGACACCCCAGGCAGCUCAGAUGCCCAGCAGGUCCUGAUGGUAAGAGGGAGGCAGGAACCUGUCCUGUCUGGGACCUGGGCAUUGCUGGGCGCUGGAGAGACCUGGGACCUCAACCACGCUGAGAGCUGGCCUGUCAUACAGGCGGUGCCUGGCAGAUGUGGGUGGGCUCCGCAGGCCCCUGGCAGCCCACCCCUGCCUUCUUGCCAUCCCUCCUGGGAGUCUCCUGGCCAAGGAGGACUCGAGGACUGUCCCACCUGUGCCCAGGGCUCACUGUGGCUCCCUUCAGCGGGGCUCUGCUCUCUCCCCGCCUGCUUCCCCUCCAGCUCCCGGGCUCUGCCCCAGCAUCCCCCCGAGCCUCUCCCAUUCCUGGCCCCAGCCUGGCCAGGGAUCCCAGAGGAUGCCUUCGUCAGCCCCUUGCCUGGUGGAUCACCACUCCUGUCUCCUGCUGCUCUGCCCCCUGCCCCAGGCCUGGGAGACCUGGGAGGACCCUCAGGGAGGGUCAAGGAUGUGUGACGCCAGCAGGAGGCCUACGAAUUCCCUGGCAGGAAGCACACUGCACAGGGAGCCUGCCGCCAUGCUGCCACCCUCAUGCCCCUGCGGGGCCGCUGGGAGGGAUGCCUAGGGCAGGGCGGGCAGUGGCUGCCAUAGGGGAGGUGCCCUGGGCAGUGCUGUUCCCUGAGAAACUGCAGCCCCAAGGGGCCUAGGCAGGGCCUGGCCUGAGUGGGGUUGAGGGGGAGGUAGGGUGGGCGUGCCCUAUGAUGUAGGGCCUGCUGCGCCCUGGGGAGGGGACCCAGUGCAGUGGUGCCCAAGUUCCAGCAUUCAGACUGCCUGGGAGCCCUGAGACUCCCUGACCCAGCAGAACACCCCAUCCUGGGUGGAGGGGAGAGUGAGGUGGGCCAGAAAGCCCACACAGGCAACUGAGACCCUCCCCACCUGCUACCCCAUCUGCUUGGGCCCAGGAAUGGAGGGGCCGAGGCAGACCCCUCAGCAUACAUGCUGAACCCUGAUGUGUAGCCGCCCACACACCAUGAGCCCAGAUUCUGGCAUUCAGUAUUUUUUCUGACAUCAAAGAGAGUCUUGGCCGGGCACGGUGGCUCACACUUGUAAUCCCAGUACUUUGGGAGGCCG
Nomascus leucogenys (northern white-cheeked gibbon) is the source of this 1384-nucleotide long non-coding RNA. RefSeq lists it as uncharacterized. Lineage: Eukaryota; Metazoa; Chordata; Mammalia; Primates; Hylobatidae. The transcript is spliced from 3 exons. The record is from RefSeq and is a predicted model, not a curated record.